Molecule: long non-coding RNA, 529 nt
Filed under: Mytilus galloprovincialis (Mediterranean mussel)
Lineage: Eukaryota; Metazoa; Mollusca; Bivalvia; Mytilida; Mytilidae
Source: RNAcentral
GUCGUGUUGAAAUUUAUUUAAAAGGGAAUCUUUCGAAAUAAGUAAUUAAUCGUGCAUGUAACCCCACCUUGAUUGAUUGGAAUAUUUAUUAAGAAAAUCGCAUACAAAUGUGUGUCAUUCAAUUUACAAGGCCGAACAGUUUUUAUACACUAUAUGAACACUUGGAUUUACAUAAUUCAUAAUUUAAGAAAAAAAGUAUUCGUUUCUCUGUAUUUCGCCGUAAAAGUUUUCGUUUUUUUUCAAAGCAAAAUUAUUUUUAUAUUUUGUCAAUAAGCAGGAAUACAAGUGUUUACGGAAUCAAAUAAACGAUAAGUUGUCCUCUUAAUGAAAUCGUUUUCCAACAAGGCAUCACACUCCUGUUGAACGAUUUAUUUUAAUUUACGUUAUACGGUUUUGCAAUUUUUCAAUGACAAAACCGGAUCAUGCUUUGAUAGAUUUAGGGAAGAAACCGGGUCAUACACUUUGACCGGGUCUUUCAAUGUUGACAUGGACCAUUAUUUCGUACCCUGAACAUAAUUACAAAUAUUGA